Molecule: RNase P RNA, 427 nt
Filed under: Pelotomaculum propionicicum
Lineage: Bacteria; Bacillati; Bacillota; Clostridia; Eubacteriales; Desulfotomaculaceae
Also listed under: 1 other name
Description: Bacterial RNase P class A
Rfam family: Bacterial RNase P class A
About the family: Ribonuclease P (RNase P) is a ubiquitous endoribonuclease, found in archaea, bacteria and eukarya as well as chloroplasts and mitochondria. Its best characterised activity is the generation of mature 5'-ends of tRNAs by cleaving the 5'-leader elements of precursor-tRNAs.
Source: Rfam by way of RNAcentral
UGAGUAAAUCAGGUGGUCGCGGGCGCCCGGCCAGGGCGCCUGAGGAAAGUCCGAGCUCCGCAGGGCAGGGUGCUGGGUAACACCCAGUGGGGGCGACCCCAAGGAAAGUGCCAUAGAAAUGAAGACCGCCCAGCACUCAACCUGGUGUUUGGCAGGCAAGUGUAGCCAAAAGGGUUGCCUUCACCAGGGAGGGAACCUAUCAAGUAUCAGGUUGAGUGCUGGGCAAGGGUGGAACGGUGCGGUAAGAGCGCACCAGCGGCCGGGCGACCGGCCGGCUUGGUAAACCCCACCUGGAGCAAGACCAAAUAGGGGGGCAGAGGGGCGGCCCGUCCCGCUCCCGGGUUAGGUCGCUAGAGGCGCCGGGUAACCGGCGUCCCAGACAGAUGAUCACCCACGACAGAACUCGGCUUAUCGAUUUACUCACUAC